GCAGCAGCCGCGGUAAUACGUAGGGUGCGAGCGUUAAUCGGAAUUACUGGGCGUAAAGCGUGCGCAGGCGGCUCGUUAAGACAGAUGUGAAAUCCCCGGGCUUAACCUGGGAACUGCAUUUGUGACUGGCGAGCUAGAGUAUGGCAGAGGGGGGUAGAAUUCCACGUGUAGCAGCGAAAUGCGUAGAGAUGUGGAGGAAUACCGAUGGCGAAGGCAGCCCCCUGGGCCAAUACUGACGCUCAUGCACGAAAGCGUGGGGAGCAAACAGGAUUAGAUACCCGAGUAGUCCCUGUCUCUUAUAC
This 302-nucleotide ribosomal RNA is filed under the name uncultured bacterium. RNAcentral describes it as "partial 16S ribosomal RNA". It matches the Rfam family "Bacterial small subunit ribosomal RNA", at positions 508 to 807 of the family's 1533-position model. The record is from RNAcentral.